Non-coding RNA from Arachis ipaensis, 738 nucleotides. Lineage: Eukaryota; Viridiplantae; Streptophyta; Magnoliopsida; Fabales; Fabaceae. The record is from RefSeq and is a predicted model, not a curated record.
GAAACUGGUGUAGUUUGAACGGAUUAAGUGAAUCAGGAAAAAUUUUAUUGAACUUGAAAACAGAGUGUAAUAUAUGUCGAUAAAGGCACUAUAAAAAACAAGUGAAAAUCAUAACAAAAUAAAAGAACUUUAGACAGUUUACCAACAAUAUUACAUUUUGGCAAAUGCUGAUGUGUUUCAAAAAAGACAUUAAAUCCAAAACCUUAAAUAUUUUCUAAAUCCUAAAAUUUUAAGCUUUAGAUCCUAAUUUUUAAUUCUAAACAGUAAUUUUAAAUUCUAAAUCUAAAUUAUUAAUAUAAAAUAUAAUAAUUUUACAUGUACAAUAUUUUUACUUAAUAAGGAGUAUUUAUGGAUGAGAUUUGCAUUUUACAUAUUUGAAAAUUUCAUCUCUUAACAAUGCAACCCCUUGGUUCAUUUAUUUGAAUAUCUUGAGAAUUUGGAAAAACUACGGGUCAAAGAACGUGGUAAUAGAUUUUCCAGGACCUAAUACAUGUGCACAGCACAUCACUAAUUUAUGUAAUGGGAAAAAAUGGUGUGGAAAAUUUCAAGCAAUAAAUAAAUAAAUCAAAUUUGAGAGUUUAACAUCACCAAAAUAUAAAAAACAGCUGAAUAUGAAUCAACAAAACAAAAUUAUCUUCUUCAAAGGCAUAAUAAUGAAGCAAAUCUCUCUGACAUGUCCAUUUUUUACACAAGAGGUGAGAAACCGUAGGAGAAAGACAGAAAGUGUCCAUGUGAUGA